UGGGGAAUAUUGCACAAUGGGCGAAAGCCUGAUGCAGUGACGCCGCGUGAGGGAUGACGGCCUUCGGGUUGUAAACCUCUUUCAGUAGGGACGAAGCGCAAGUGACGGUACCUGCAGAAGAAGCACCGGCUAACUACGUGCCAGCAGCCGCGGUAAUACGUAGGGUGCGAGCGUUGUCCGGAAUUACUGGGCGUAAAGAGCUCGUAGGCGGUUUGUCACGUCGUCUGUGAAAUCCUAGGGCUUAACCCUGGACGUGCAGGCGAUACGGGCUGACUUGAGUACUACAGGGGAGACUGGAAUUUCUGGUGUAGCGGUGGAAUGCACAGAUAUCAGGAAGAACACCGAUGGCGAAGGCAGGUCUCUGGGUAGUAACUGACGCUGAGGAGCGAAAGCAUGGGUAGCGAACAGG
RNAcentral lists this ribosomal RNA (409 nucleotides) under bacterium. RNAcentral describes it as "partial 16S ribosomal RNA". It matches the Rfam family "Bacterial small subunit ribosomal RNA", at positions 355 to 776 of the family's 1533-position model. The record is from RNAcentral.